CUUACACAUGCAAGUCGAACGGUAUCGCGGGGGUUACCCUGGCGACGAGUGGCGAACGGGUGAGUAAUACAUCGGAACAUAUCCUGUAUCGGGGGAUAACCUGUCAAAAGAUAGGCUAAUACCGCAUACGAUCUACGGAUGAAAGCGGGGGACCGCAAGGCCUCGCACUAUAGGAGUGGCCGAUGUCGGAUUAGCUAGUUGGAGAGGUAAAGGCUUACCAAGGCGACAAUCCGUAGCUGGUCUGAGAGGACGAUCACCCACACUGGAACUGAGACACGGUCCAGACUCCUACGGGAGGCAGCAGUGGGGAAUUUUGGACUAUGGGCGCAAGCCUGAUCCACCCAUGCCGCGUGAGUGAAUAAAGCCUUCGGAUUGUAAAGCUCUUUCGGCGGGGACGAAACGGUUCGCACUAAGCACUGCGGACUAAUGACGGUACCCGCAUAAGAAGCACCGGCUAACUACUUGCCAGCAGCCGCGGUAAUACGUACGGUGCAGGCGUUAAUCAGAAUUAGUGGGCGUAAAGCGUUCGCAGGCAGUCUGUUUAGACAGGUGUGAGAUCGACGAGCUCGUCUUGGGAGUGACGCUUGUAAUGACAUGGCUAGAGUGUGGCAGAGGUGGGUGUAAUUACACGUGUAGCAGUGAAAUGAGCAGAUAUGUGGAGGAACACCGAUGGCGAAGGCAGCCCCAUGGGUUAACACUGACGCUCAGGCACGAAAGCGUGGUGAGCAAACAGGAUUAGAUACCGUGGUAGUACACGCCUUAAAUUAUGUCAACUAGUUGUCGGGGAAGAACUUCCUUGGUAACGAAGCUAACGCGUGAAGUUGACCGCAUGGGGAGUACGGCCGCAAGGUUAAAACUCAAAGGAAUUGACGGGGACCCGCACAAGCGGUGGAUUAUGUGGAUUAAUUAGAUGCAACGCGAAAAACCUUACCUACCCUUGACAUGCCAAGAACCUCGCAGAGAUGUGAGGGUGCCCGAAAGGGAACCUGGACACAGGUGUUGCAUGGCUGUCGUCAGCUCGUGUCGUGAGAUGUUGGGUUAAGUCCCGCAACGAGCGCAACCCUUGCCAUUAGUUGCGACAUUUAGUUGAGCACUCUAAUGGGACCGCCGGUGACAAACCGGAGGAAGGUGGGGAUGACGUCAAGUCAUCAUGGCCAUUAUGGGUAGGGCUUCACACGUAAUACAAUGGUCGGUACAGAGGGCUGCCAACCCGCGAGGGGGAGCUAAUCCCAGAAAGCCGAUCGUAGUCCGGAUUGUAGUCUGCAACUCGAGUGCAUGAAGCCGGAAUCGCUAGUAAUCGCGGAUCAGCAUGUCGCGGUGAAUACGUUCCCGGGUCUUGUACACACCGCCCGUCACACCAUGGGAGUGGGUUCCACCAGAAGUAGUUAGCCUAACCGCAAGGAGGCCGAUUACCACGGUGAGAUUCAUGACUGGGGUGAA
This 1440-nucleotide ribosomal RNA is filed under the name uncultured organism. RNAcentral describes it as "16S ribosomal RNA". It matches the Rfam family "Bacterial small subunit ribosomal RNA". The record is from RNAcentral.